RNAcentral lists this ribosomal RNA (2919 nucleotides) under Acinetobacter baumannii. RNAcentral's name for it is "23S ribosomal RNA". It matches the Rfam family "Bacterial large subunit ribosomal RNA". Lineage: Bacteria; Pseudomonadati; Pseudomonadota; Gammaproteobacteria; Moraxellales; Moraxellaceae. The record is from RNAcentral.
GUUGUAUAGUCAAGUAAUUAAGUGCAUGUGGUGGAUGCCUUGGCAGUCAGAGGCGAUGAAAGACGUGAUAGCCUGCGAAAAGCUCCGGGGAGGCGGCAAAUAUCCUUUGAUCCGGAGAUGUCUGAAUGGGGGAACCCACCUACUUUAAGGUAGGUAUUGCAACAUGAAUACAUAGUGUUGCAAGGCGAACGAGGGGGAAGUGAAACAUCUCAGUACCCUUAGGAAAAGAAAUCAAUUGAGAUUCCCUCAGUAGCGGCGAGCGAACGGGGAUCAGCCCAUUAAGUUAUGUGUGUUUUAGUGGAACGCUCUGGGAAGUGCGAACGUAGAGGGUGAUAUUCCCGUACACGAAAGGGCACACAUAAUGAUGACGAGUAGGGCGAGGCACGUGAAACCUUGUCUGAAUAUGGGGGGACCAUCCUCCAAGGCUAAAUACUCCUGACUGACCGAUAGUGAACCAGUACCGUGAGGGAAAGGCGAAAAGAACCCCUGUGAGGGGAGUGAAAUAGAUCCUGAAACCGCAUGCAUACAAGCAGUGGGAGCACCUUCGUGGUGUGACUGCGUACCUUUUGUAUAAUGGGUCAGCGACUUAUAUUCAGUAGCGAGGUUAACCGUAUAGGGGAGCCGUAGAGAAAUCGAGUCUUAAUAGGGCGUUUAGUUGCUGGGUAUAGACCCGAAACCAGGCGAUCUAUCCAUGAGCAGGUUGAAGGUUGGGUAACACUAACUGGAGGACCGAACCCACUGUCGUUGAAAAGCCAGGGGAUGACUUGUGGAUAGGGGUGAAAGGCUAAUCAAGCCUGGUGAUAGCUGGUUCUCCCCGAAAGCUAUUUAGGUAGCGCCUCGGACGAAUACCAUAGGGGGUAGAGCACUGUUUCGGCUAGGGGGUCAUCCCGACUUACCAAACCGAUGCAAACUCCGAAUACCUAUGAGUACUAUCCGGGAGACAGACUGCGGGUGCUAACGUCCGUAGUCAAGAGGAAAACAAUCCAGACCGCCAGCUAAGGCCCCAAAAUCAUAGUUAAGUGGGAAACGAUGUGGGAAGGCAUAGACAGCUAGGAGGUUGGCUUAGAAGCAGCCACCCUUUAAAGAAAGCGUAAUAGCUCACUAGUCGAGUCGGCCUGCGCGGAAGAUGUAACGGGGCUAAAACUAUGUGCCGAAGCUGCGGAUGUAUACUUUGUAUACGUGGUAGGGGAGCGUUCUGUAAGCCGAUGAAGGUGUGUUGAGAAGCAUGCUGGAGGUAUCAGAAGUGCGAAUGCUGACGUGAGUAACGACAAAACGGGUGAAAAACCCGUUCGCCGAAAGACCAAGGGUUCCAGUCCAACGUUAAUCGGGGCUGGGUGAGUCGACCCCUAAGGCGAGGCCGAAAGGCGUAGUCGAUGGGAAAAUGGUUAAUAUUCCAUUACUUCUGUGUAAUGCGAUGAGAGGACGGAGAAGGCUAAAUCAGCCUGGCGUUGGUUGUCCAGGUGAAAGGAUGUAGGCAUGUAUCUUAGGCAAAUCCGGGGUACUCUAUGCUGAGAUCUGAUAGCAAGCUGUACUUGUACAGCGAAGUGGUUGAUGCCAUGCUUCCAGGAAAAGUCUCUAAGCUUCAGUUACACAGGAAUCGUACCCGAAACCGACACAGGUGGUCAGGUCGAGUAGACCAAGGCGCUUGAGAGAACUCUGCUGAAGGAACUAGGCAAAAUGGUACCGUAACUUCGGGAGAAGGUACGCUGUUGUUGGUGAUGGAACUCGCUUCCUGAGCUGACGACAGCCGCAGAAACCAGGCCGCUGCAACUGUUUAUUAAAAACAUAGCACUCUGCAAACACGAAAGUGGACGUAUAGGGUGUGAUGCCUGCCCGGUGCUGGAAGGUUAAUUGAUGGGGUUAGCGUAAGCGAAGCUCUUGAUCGAAGCCCCAGUAAACGGCGGCCGUAACUAUAACGGUCCUAAGGUAGCGAAAUUCCUUGUCGGGUAAGUUCCGACCUGCACGAAUGGCAUAAUGAUGGCGGCGCUGUCUCCAGCAGAGGCUCAGUGAAAUCGAAAUCGCUGUGAAGAUGCAGUGUACCCGCGGCUAGACGGAAAGACCCCGUGAACCUUUACUGCAGCUUGACACUGAACUUUGACCUUACUUGUGUAGGAUAGGUGGGAGGCUUUGAAGCUGGAACGCUAGUUCCAGUGGAGCCGUCCUUGAAAUACCACCCUGGUAAUGUUGAGGUUCUAACUCUGUCCCGUGAUCCGGGACGAGGACCGUGUCUGGUGGGUAGUUUGACUGGGGCGGUCUCCUCCUAAAGAGUAACGGAGGAGUACGAAGGUGCGCUCAGCGUGGUCGGAAAUCACGCGUAGAGUAUAAAGGCAAAAGCGCGCUUAACUGCGAGACCCACAAGUCGAGCAGGUACGAAAGUAGGUCUUAGUGAUCCGGUGGUUCUGUAUGGAAGGGCCAUCGCUCAACGGAUAAAAGGUACUCUGGGGAUAACAGGCUGAUACCGCCCAAGAGUUCAUAUCGACGGCGGUGUUUGGCACCUCGAUGUCGGCUCAUCUCAUCCUGGGGCUGAAGCAGGUCCCAAGGGUAUGGCUGUUCGCCAUUUAAAGAGGUACGCGAGCUGGGUUUAGAACGUCGUGAGACAGUUCGGUCCCUAUCUACCGUGGGCGCUGGAAAUUUGAGAGGAUCUGCUCCUAGUACGAGAGGACCAGAGUGGACGAACCUCUGGUGUACCGGUUGUGACGCCAGUCGCAUCGCCGGGUAGCUAUGUUCGGAAGGGAUAACCGCUGAAAGCAUCUAAGCGGGAAGCCUACCUCAAGAUAAGAUUUCCCUAGGACUUUAUGUCCUCUAAAGAGCCGUUCGAGACUAGGACGUUGAUAGGUUGGAUGUGGAAGCAUAGUGAUAUGUGAAGCUGACCAAUACUAAUUGCUCGUGAGGCUUGACUAUACAACACCCAAGCAGUUG